GCGGAUGUGGCGGAAUUGGCAGACGCGCUGGUUUCAGGUACCAGUGGGGGCAACCCCAUGGAGGUUCAACUCCUCUCAUCCGCA
RNAcentral lists this transfer RNA (84 nucleotides) under Phycisphaerales bacterium. Its description in RNAcentral is "tRNA-Leu". It matches the Rfam family "tRNA". From Rfam's summary of the family: Transfer RNA (tRNA) molecules are approximately 80 nucleotides in length. Their secondary structure includes four short double-helical elements and three loops (D, anti-codon, and T loops). The record is from RNAcentral. Lineage: Bacteria; Pseudomonadati; Planctomycetota; Phycisphaerae; Phycisphaerales.